Equus asinus (donkey) is the source of this 2334-nucleotide long non-coding RNA. The record is from Ensembl. NCBI's taxonomy places the organism in Eukaryota, Metazoa, Chordata, Mammalia, Perissodactyla, Equidae.
AUGUUAGUUAGAAACCAGAUUAAUAGAAGUGUAGGCCUGAUAUAUUAUGUUGUGAGGCAUAGUGGCUGGAAGGAACUUUAGCAAUAUAGCCCUGCCCCCUCAUUUUAGUACUGAGGAAUCUGAGACCUGGAGAGGUUAAGUGACUUUUUCGAGAUCACACAAGACAGCUUUCCACUCUGCCAAUUACCGUGCUUAUUUUGGGAAACCCUUAUAUACAAAAAGCCCUGUUUUAAGAAAAGGCAUCUUCAUGAUCCAGGGCAUAUGUGUUUUGUAAAAUGUCCCUGGCUUGAGUAGUUUGUUCAGGAUUCUGAAUUCCUAUCUUGCCUCUCCUGUAGUGCCUUUUGCAAGGUUUUCCCUUUCCUGAUCCUCAUUUCAACAUUGAGUCACAUGAAACAUCCCCCUGAGAAAUCAACCUCCCUUCUUCUCUUGCUAUGGGAUUGGCUGUAUCGGAUCAACUUACAGGGUUCCUCUAUGAGUCUAGGAAUGGCAUAUUUAACAGUAUUGUGUCAUUCCUAAUUAUUUUCCAAAGGAAUUAUUUUGUGUGUGUCGGGGGAGAGACAAGAGGGAGGGUGAUGUGAUUUUCAGCCAGUCUUGAGAUUUUCAGUAAUGAAGUGAUCAUCCUAAACAUUAGUCCUCAGUUAUAAGCGAAUCCCAAAUAGAAAUUAAAAGUGCAUAAUUUAAAAUUGAAUUAAAAGCGUGAAAAGUUAAUACUCAUUCAUACAACCCUUUAGUCAUAAGGAAAAAAACCCUUGAAUGGUAGAAGCAACGAGUAGCAAACUUCAGGACUGCUCUUUUCUAUCUAAGUAAAUAAGUAAAAAUGAGAAGAAACCUUUCAUCUACUCCUUUCAUGGUUAUAACACAUUGCCAGAAGUUUUGCUAGCUCUGGGAGCCAUGAUUUUAAUCACAUUCUAUAAGGUGACAGAUGUCAUACAUUCCACACUGUGUGGCAGCCAUCUCUUUAGACUCAUGUAUUUUCGGGAAAGAAGAAAGUUCUUGGCAAAGUAAUAUUUUGAACUUUCCACAACAUCUCUGCUCCCUCACACCAGAGGCAGUCCCUUUUGGCUCAGUUUUUAAUCCCAGAUAAUUUGCUAAAAUAGUAUCGUACAUCUAAGAGAUGGAAGAAGUCCAUGUCAGUGUAUUAUGUUUACGAAGAAGAUAAAUUCAGUCUUUUCAGAAAAUCUCUAAUAGGUGUCAUUUUACAAAUUCAGGUUUAUAGGAGAAAUCUCAAGUUAGCCACCUUUUCACUAUUGUGUGGAUGUAACAUUUGGGGGAUCUUUCUGGACUCCCACCUAUCUAUGCAUUUUACUGGCACCUCAGGACAGAAGGAUGACCUUGUUGUCUUAACUUGUACUGCCUGGUGGUCUCUGGGGACCUUCUAAGUCAGUUGUACCCCAAUGUCCCAUGUACAGAAAAACUCCAUUAGAACAAACUUUACUUGAUAUAAAAUUUCUAUUAACAAUUUUUUAUUAAAUAAAACUAGCUUGAGCUUUCUUUUAAAAUCAUGUAUCUUGAUUGUUGUUUUAAUGAAGGAUUUAUUUUCAAUGCUGCUUUUGAGCUUCGGGAUGACAGGAUAGCAGGAACCUGAAAUGACUGCCAUCAUCUGCUAUAGGAAACACCAAGAGACCCAUUGUGUUCUCUUUUUCUUGUUACACAGUUGGGUGGGUACAACAAUCGGAAAAUGAACAAACUGAUUGUGCAAACUACUUUUUAUGAAGAGCCUAAACACUCAUGAUGCGGCAGCUUAAAGUGUAUACAUAUGCACUAACUUUUAUAAAUUAUAUUCUCAUGUCUGUUAGCCAUGCAAUCUCCUGUUAUCUCAAUUGCUCAUUCACAUAUGGAAUGUGUUACUUAAAAUGUGUGCAUUCUUACUGAACAUGUUUUCAAAGGAAGGCAUCAGCUAUGGGCUAAUUGCCACCAAUUUCAGCCCGCCAUGAUCCUUGGAAAUAUAUCUUCCAAGUGCCAUCCAUCAUCAGUAGGACAAGUGUCGGGAGUUUGUUUAUUUUUUUCCAGUAGCAACGAUGGGUUACAUGGAGCCGUCAAACCUCCUUCUGGCCUCCUUUGUGAUUAAUGGCAUGUGUUGUAAAAUGGAUAGCUGGGGUUGGCAGUUGGCUAAAGAAGAAUCACCUUUGGUUUAAAAUGUAUGUGACCCCAUAAUGACUGAGACUCCAUUCUGUAAUCAACUGAGCUAGUUCCAAUAAAGUUAAGCAGGUUUGAAUCCACUUUGUGCCUAUCUUUUCACUGACAAUAAAGUUAGCUAUUUUAAAAUGUAGUACUGUGUGGAAAAUGCUUUGGUGUUUACCCAACAGAGGCUUUAUUUGUGCUGUAUCAGUGAUU